CGCCCCUUUUGUCCCACCGGGCCCGGAGCCACGGACGGUCCAAGCGGCUCCCGAGCCCCCCUCCCCUGGGUCUCCCCCGAGCCCCCUCCCCGCCCAGCCCGGGGCAGGCUCCGGAGGGGUCCCGCUGCCUGGGGGUGGGGGAGUCCCGCUGCCUGGCUCCCUCCCCCCAAACCUCCCCCCGGGCUGCUCCGCGGGGGUUUGGUGGGGAGGGGGCGCCGGGGGUCCCCGCCAUGGCGGGGAUGAUGCUCCCGGGAGCAUCGCUGCUUUCUCGGGGGGGGCCCCCCAGUUUGGGGUGUAGAGGAGGAGGGUGAGCAGGGGAUUCGAUGCUGUUUUGGCGCUGCUGGAGCCCCUCCUGGUGUCACCAGCUCUGCGCGGGACGGGCCGGUGCCGCAGGUGAGGAAGAUGCUGCCCCGAGCCCCGGCCCGGCGCUCUCCCAUCAGCGGUGAAUCCCGCAGCGCCUCCCGGCACCCGGCCGCCCUGGGGACAUCCCUGGAACUGCAGCGUCCUGCAUCCCACCGCUCCUCCCCGGGAACCGGCCCAGGUGAGGAGGAGGAGGGAGGUCUGAGCCUCUCUGUCCCAACCCAGCACCCCUGAAGCACCUGGAGCAAGGUGAAGCUCCCGAGCACCUGACAAGGAAAAUCAAGGUUUGCCAGACCCAGGUCCUGGAGGGAAGAGGUGGUGAUGGUUUCCCUGGUGUCUGGAGCCGUGUGCCCUCACCUGGAGCAGCGGGAGCCUCGUGCCACCCCAAGGCAGAGAAGGGAUGUCAUCAUCUCCACCAGAACCUCACCAGGGUGGGCUUCCAACCCCUUAUCCCAAGCAGCACCUGCUCACCCCAGGCAUCCUCUUAUCCUUAAAGGCGCCAGCUCAGGCCGAAAUUG
Long non-coding RNA from Vidua chalybeata, 878 nucleotides. RefSeq lists it as uncharacterized. The record is from RefSeq and is a predicted model, not a curated record. The transcript is spliced from 4 exons. Lineage: Eukaryota; Metazoa; Chordata; Aves; Passeriformes; Viduidae.